CUCCGCCCCACCUGCCUGGAUUGACAGGUCACAGCUGGAUGUGACCAGGUACCAGGAUGUCCGGUCUGUCCCGAUCGUCCUCUCAUCUUCACUGGAGGAUGACUCCUUGUCCUCAUCUGAACUGAGGUGUUGAAUAAAAAGGGCCCUCAGUCAGAAACUUUACAGGUCAGACGCGUUAUUCUUAGUAUAGAGCCCUUCAUAAACCGGGUAGUUUGCAUACUGGUAGCUGAUUGGCUAAAAACAGCAUUUAGCCGUGUGUAUGUGAGACUGUAUACGGUCACCACGAUCAUUGCGCCUUUUCACCUCGAUAAAAUGGCUACAGCAAACAAUGUGGAACACAUGCCGAUGUAGAAAAUAAACGUUCAAAUGAAUUUGAGAGAAACCGAAACGAAUUGUGAAACAAACAAAGUGGGCACUUUACCCGCUUCACUGACUGGUGCGCCGAACAAGGGAUAUAUUGAGUUUGUGAAUACAACCAAAAUGGAGCUGAAAGUCAUUCUACGGGACUUUUAAGUGAUAAACAUGAAUGGCGAAAAGGAUGGGAUUAGCAGCUAAACUGCCGCUGGAUUUGAACCGACAUAUCAAUGACCCCCUCUCAGUCUGGCAUGGAAUAUACAGGACACCGAAAUCACAACGCGCAACAAUGUGUUGUCUCUCAGCGUAAUUAAAAAGUUGAGGAAGAGGGAUGCGACAAAGCAGUGAAUGGAUACUAUGUUAUGUAACUGUACACAUGUCAAGAGCCGAUAGGAGUGAACACCCUCGCAACAAUGCUGCCAAAACCCUGAAAAAUAGCUGGCUCGUCACAGAUGUACACAAACUACUACCUCGUCAUCCAUUUAUAGUAGCGUGGAGCCAACAACAUUUACAUUUACAUUUAAGUCAUUAAACAAACAUGGAAUAUUUUUUUUCAUUUGUGCACAAUAAAUGACAACAUUCAGAUCAACGUUAA
Oncorhynchus gorbuscha (pink salmon) is the source of this 949-nucleotide long non-coding RNA. RefSeq lists it as uncharacterized. The record is from RefSeq and is a predicted model, not a curated record. The transcript has 2 exons. NCBI's taxonomy places the organism in Eukaryota, Metazoa, Chordata, Actinopteri, Salmoniformes, Salmonidae.